CCUACGGGAGACAGCAGUGAGGAAUAUUGGUCAAUGGACGAGAGUCUGAACCAGCCAAGUAGCGUGAAGGAUGACUGCCCUAUGGGUUGUAAACUUCUUUUAUAUGGGAAUAAAAUGUUCCACGUGUGGGAUUUUGUAUGUACCAUAUGAAUAAGGAUCGGCUAACUCCGUGCCAGCAGCCGCGGUAAUACGGAGGGUCCGAGCGUUAUCCGGAUUUAUUGGGUUUAAAGGGAGCGUAGGUGGAUUGUUAAGUCAGUUGUGAAAGUUUGCGGCUCAACCGUAAAAUUGCAGUUGAAACUGGCAGUCUUGAGUACAGUAGAGGUGGGCGGAAUUCGUGGUGUAGCGGUGAAAUGCUUAGAUAUCACGAAGAACUCCGAUUGCGAAGGCAGUUCACUGGACUGCAACUGACACUGAGGCUCGAAAGUGUGGGUAUCAAACAGGAUUAGAUACCCUAGUAGUC
This 460-nucleotide ribosomal RNA is filed under the name uncultured bacterium. RNAcentral describes it as "partial 16S ribosomal RNA". It matches the Rfam family "Bacterial small subunit ribosomal RNA", at positions 338 to 795 of the family's 1533-position model. The record is from RNAcentral.